UCAAACUUGGUCAUUUAGAGGAAGUAAAAGUCGUAACAAGGUUUCCGUAGGUGAACCUGCGGAAGGAUCAUUAGUGAAAAAAAUCCGAGUGACCCUCGGUCUCACUUGCGGCCUCUUCCUCGGCUGUUGCGCCCGCCUUCGGGCUGCACGCCGCGGAGGGGUUGUAAUCCCACACACCUGUGCACCUUUCGAUGGGUGAGCGGAUUUCGCUCGCCUGUCGUCCUUCAUUGCAUUUGAAAGUCUAUGAAUGUCUUUACUUUUUGUAAUCGAUACAACUUUCAGCAACGGAUCUCUUGGCUCUCGCAUCGAUGAAGAACGCAGC
This 322-nucleotide unclassified non-coding RNA is filed under the name uncultured fungus. Its description in RNAcentral is "partial contains small subunit ribosomal RNA, internal transcribed spacer 1, and 5.8S ribosomal RNA". The stretch from base 1 to 73 matches the Rfam family "Eukaryotic small subunit ribosomal RNA", at positions 1759 to 1831 of the family's 1831-position model. The record is from RNAcentral. Lineage: Eukaryota; Fungi.